GAGUUUGAUUCUGGCUCAGNUUGAACGCUGGCGGCAUGCCUUACACAUGCAAGUCGAACGGCAGCGGCCCUUCGGGGUGCCGGCAAGUGGCGAACGGGUGAGUAACACAUCGGAACGUACCCUGUGGUGGGGGAUAACCCGUCGAAAGACGGGCUAAUACCGCAUAAGCUCUGCGGAGGAAAGCGGGGGACCGUCAAGGCCUCGCGCCACAGGAGCGGCCGAUGUCCGAUUAGCUAGUUGGUAGGGUAAAGGCCUACCAAGGCGACGAUCGGUAGCGGGUCUGAGAGGACGGCCCGCCACACUGGGACUGAGACACGGCCCAGACUCCUACGGGAGGCAGCAGUGGGGUAUCUUGGACAAUGGGGGAAACCCUGAUCCAGCAAUGCCGCGUGGGUGAAGAAGGCCUUCGGGUUGUAAAGCCCUUUUAGCAGGGAAGAAAUCGGCUGGGUGAAUAGUCUAGCUGGAUGACGGUACCUGCAGAAAAAGCACCGGCUAACUACGUGCC
Molecule: ribosomal RNA, 505 nt
Filed under: uncultured beta proteobacterium
Lineage: Bacteria; Pseudomonadati; Pseudomonadota; Betaproteobacteria
Description: bacterial SSU rRNA
Rfam family: Bacterial small subunit ribosomal RNA
Source: RNAcentral